Papio anubis (olive baboon) is the source of this 143-nucleotide small nuclear RNA. Its record names the gene U1. It matches the Rfam family "U1 spliceosomal RNA". Rfam says of the family: U1 is a small nuclear RNA (snRNA) component of the spliceosome (involved in pre-mRNA splicing). The record is from Ensembl. Lineage: Eukaryota; Metazoa; Chordata; Mammalia; Primates; Cercopithecidae.
AUACUUACCUAGUGGUAAGUAUGAUCAUGAAGGUGACUUUCCCAGGGUGAGGCUUAUCCAUUGCACGUUGGGUGUGCUGACAUCUGCAGGAAACCGGACUGCAUAAUUUGUGGUAAUGAGGGUACGGCACUUGCAUUCUCUUU